UACGUAGGGAGCAAGCGUUGUCCGGAUUAUUGGGCGUAAAGAGCUCGUAGGCGGCUUAGAAAGUCAGAUGUGAAACUCCAGGCUCAACCUGGAGACGCCAUUUGAUACUUCUAUGGCUUGAGUUCGGUAGGGGACCAUGGAAUUCCUGGUGUAGCGGUGAAAUGCGCAGAUAUCAGGAGGAACACCGAUGGCGAAGGCAGUGGUCUGGGCCGAUACUGACGCUGAGGAGCGAAAGGCGUGGGAGCGAACAGG
Molecule: ribosomal RNA, 252 nt
Filed under: uncultured bacterium
Lineage: Bacteria
Description: partial 16S ribosomal RNA
Rfam family: Bacterial small subunit ribosomal RNA
Source: RNAcentral